AAGAUGGCUCCAAGAGGGAAGCUAGUGUUUGGAGUUGGCCUUGGAGCAUUGGUUUUUGUUCCAGUCUUCAAAGCUCUAACUGGAUUGCCUCCUUACAUGGGUAUCUUGCUGGGUCUUGGAGUUCUCUGGGUCUUGACUGAUGCCAUCCACUACGGUGAAUCAGAAAGACAAAAGCUCAAAGUACCUCAAGCCUUGUCUCGAAUCGACACACAAGGCGCUUUGUUUUUCCUUGGCAUCCUUUUAUCCGUUAGCAGGUAUAACUUAAAUUAAACUAAUCUUAUGAAUUAGAAAACCUUUUGUGAUGUUGUUCUUUUUCUAUUUUUCUUUCAGCCUUGAGGCAGCUGGGAUCCUCAGGGAGAUUGCAAACUACCUUGAUGCUAAUAUACCAAACGUUGAGUUGAUUGCUAGUGCAAUAGGUGUUGUGUCUGCAAUCAUAGACAAUGUUCCAUUGGUUGCAGCGACCAUGGGGAUGUACGACCUCACAUCCUUCCCUCAAGACUCUGAGUUUUGGCAGCUGGUUGCGUUCUGCGCCGGUACUGGUGGUUCGAUGCUUAUCAUUGGUUCCGCUGCUGGUGUGGCCUUCAUGGGGAUGGAGAAGAUAGAUUUCUUUUGGUACUUCCGAAAGGUAAAAGAUACAUUCAUUUUUUUUUGUAAAGACUGAAUACUCUUAAAGAGGCUCUGAGCAAGAAACGCUGUUUUUGUUUUCUCCGUGCAGGUGAGUGGUUUUGCUUUUGCUGGUUAUGCUGCUGGUAUCGCGGCUUACCUGGCGAUUCAAAGUGUUCAUUUUUCGAUCCCAACAACGGUGGCUCAGAUCCCAUUUCUCACUGGUUCGUAAGCUUGCAUUGUGUUUCUUCUCUAUGAAAAGAAAAGAACAGUACAGAAGUGAAAUCUCUUGCUGGCUGCAAUAAUAAAAAAAACACAUCACUUCGUCGACAACCAACUAUGUUAUUUGUUUCAUGUAUACUCUGGUUCUAUCAUUGCUUGACUAGUACAGAAUGAAUCAUCCAGUAAAAAUUUUAUGAUUUUCUGAGGUUUUUAUGUUUAUCUUUGGAAAGUGUAAGACUAUAGUUUGAGGGAAACAGACUCUUCAAUUGCAGAAAUGUCUCCCAUCUUUUUCAAAGUUUAUUUGCUAGGUUGUUUCAUUUACACUUCAACCACGUAGAAGUCCUCUUGAAGAAGCAUACGUCACUUUCACGGCAUAUGUGAUACUUCUUAAUCAGUCAACUAUAAUCUUCAAGAAAAAGCAAUUGUAAUUGGACAAUAACCACUCAAACUGUAUUAGUGUUUUUAUCUUUCUUGAUUCUACUGCAACAACAAUCCCACAAAGCAUUCGUGUAAACUAAAAGACGAAUAGUUCUCAGCCAAACGGAAAAACCCCCAGAAACUCAUGAACAUAUAACAGAGGCUAAGAACUUAAUUAAAAAAAAAACCUAAGUAACGCCAAAUCAGAAAGAAAUGAAUAAAAAACUGUACUGCGAUUCACUUUGAUCCGCUGCUUGAUCAUCCUCUUAGAGCAAGCAAUCCAGUAAUGGAGCUCUUUCUUGUGUGUUACUUAGUCUUGUGAACAAAUCAGCAGUUGUUUUCACCUUUAGCUACUGAAAAGAACAAUGCAGCCGUUCAGUAAAACAGCAGUGAGAAUAACUAAACCAUCUUGGCCAAGUCAUAUGACCAGAAACGUUGUCAGAUGAUAAGGCUUGGAAUAGGAUACGCUGGAAUCAUCUUUGAAGAGUCUUUAGCUUUUAAUAAAAGUGGAGUGGGGCUUUUGAUGGCUGUGAGUCUGUGGGUUGUGAGGGGCAUAGGGGUAAGUAAGAAUCUACAUGAGUUUGAAUAUUCAUUAUUUGUUGGUAUAUUGAAUUAUAUUCCUUGUGUCAGGCUCCUUCAACUGAGAUAGCUGUUGCAGAGCUUCAACAUGCAACAGCUGAAGUAAGUGAGAUUGUGUUUUUCAUACUGGGGGCAAUGACCAUUGUGGAGAUUGUUGAUGCUCACCAAGGGUUUAAGCUGGUUACUGACAAUAUAACCACUCGGAAGCCAAAGACGCUUUUAUGGGUGGUAGGUGGAUUUUUAUCUCUGUAGCUUUGAAUGUUAUCUCCUUCUUCAAUGGGUUUACUCUUUAGUUGACUUGUGGUGUUGCAGGUGGGGUUUGUGACUUUUUUCCUCAGUUCGAUUCUAGACAACUUAACCUCUACCAUUGUCAUGGUUUCUUUACUCAGGAAACUGGUCCCUCAAUCAGAAUACCGCAAGUAUGAACAACUUUUUUCUUUAUGCUCCUAUUAGUUAUUUUAUUGGUUAAGUUGUUCACAUUGAGAACAUAUUAGCUCUGUAGAUAUAGACCUUAAGAUUCUGAAGGAAACAUAUUGGUCCUUGUUACUUUGAUACUACUCUGUAUUGUGUUCACUCUUAUUGUCACAUUGACGCUAGUUUUAAUGUUUAAUAACCAAUGCGCAGACUUCUAGGAGCUGUUGUGGUGAUAGCAGCAAAUGCAGGAGGAGCAUGGACUCCAAUUGGUGAUGUUACUACAACUAUGCUAUGGAUUCAUGGUCAGAUAUCCACCUUGCCGACUAUACAGGUUCUCCUUCUCUUCUGAGAUUGUCACAUAGUGUUAUCAGAGCGUACCUUUCUUUCUCAAGCCCAACUGGUAUCAUUAGUAUAUGUUACAGGGUUAGAGUCUACUUAAGAAAAACGAAUGUUUAGAAGUGGGACUAGAUAGUCUAGGUUACAGGCUUCUAUAAGUUGUUAAAGUAUACACCUGCUUGGUCAUUUCAACUGUCACGUACGGCACUUCCUAGCCAUUCCUGAUGAAGGUUUACUUGCUUUCCCUUUAGGGCCUUUUCAUACCUUCGGCCAUAUCUCUUGCUGUUCCGCUAGCCCUCAUGUCCUUGAGCAGGUUAUAAACUCUUUCUUGCAUGCUCAAACAGAAACAGAAACUAAGCUUCAAUUGUCUCGUAACUGCAGAGGCUGAUUGAUGUGAGUUACUUUGUUUUUUUGUCUUCCUCAGUGAGGUAAAUGAAAAGGGACAGGAUUCGUCAGAUGUAUUAGCUUCUGAAAAGAUGGCUCCAAGAGGGAAGCUAGUGUUUGGAGUUGGCCUUGGAGCAUUGGUUUUUGUUCCAGUCUUCAAAGCUCUAACUGGAUUGCCUCCUUACAUGGGUAUCUUGCUGGGUCUUGGAGUUCUCUGGGUCUUGACUGAUGCCAUCCACUACGGUGAAUCAGAAAGACAAAAGCUCAAAGUACCUCAAGCCUUGUCUCGAAUCGACACACAAGGCGCUUUGUUUUUCCUUGGCAUCCUUUUAUCCGUUAGCAGGUAUAACUUAAAUUAAACUAAUCUUAUGAAUUAGAAAACCUUUUGUGAUGUUGU
RNAcentral lists this long non-coding RNA (3352 nucleotides) under Brassica napus (rape). Its description in RNAcentral is "long non-coding RNA (BNAP_LNC004558)". Lineage: Eukaryota; Viridiplantae; Streptophyta; Magnoliopsida; Brassicales; Brassicaceae. The record is from RNAcentral.